CUUGGUGUUACUGCGAAGGGGGGACGGAGAAGGCUAUGUUGGCCGGGCGACGGUUGUCCCGGUUUAAGCGUGUAGGUGUGUGUUCCAGGUAAAUCCGGUUCACUUUAACACUGAGGCGUGACGACGAGGCACUACGGUGCUGAAGCAACAAAUGCCCUGCUUCCAGGAAAAGCCUCUAAGCAUCAGGUAACAUCAAAUCGUACCCCAAACCGACACAGGUGGUCAGGUAGAGAAUACCAAGGCGCUUGAGAGAACUCGGGUGAAGGAACUAGGCAAAAUGGUGCCGUAACUUCGGGAGAAGGCACGCUGACACGUAGGUGAAGUGAUUUACUCAUGGAGCUGAAGUCAGUCGAAGAUACCAGCUGGCUGCAACUGUUUAUUAAAAACACAGCACUGUGCAAACACGAAAGUGGACGUAUACGGUGUGACGCCUGCCCGGUGCCGGAAGGUUAAUUGAUGGGGUCAGCGCAAGCGAAGCUCCUGAUCGAAGCCCCGGUAAACGGCGGCCGUAACUAUAACGGUCCUAAGGUAGCGAAAUUCCUUGUCGGGUAAGUUCCGACCUGCACGAAUGGCGUAAUGAUGGCCAGGCUGUCUCCACCCGAGACUCAGUGAAAUUGAACUCGCUGUGAAGAUGCAGUGUACCCGCGGCAAGACGGAAAGACCCCGUGAACCUUUACUAUAGCUUGACACUGAACAUUGAGCCUUGAUGUGUAGGAUAGGUGGGAGGCUUUGAAGUGUGGACGCCAGUCUGCAUGGAGCCGACCUUGAAAUACCACCCUUUAAUGUUUGAUGUUCUAACGUGGACCCGUAAUCCGGGUUGCGGACAGUGUCUGGUGGGUAGUUUGACUGGGGCGGUCUCCUCCUAAAGAGUAACGGAGGAGCACGAAGGUUGGCUAAUCCUGGUCGGACAUCAGGAGGUUAGUGCAAUGGCAUAAGCCAGCUUGACUGCGAGCGUGACGGCGCGAGCAGGUGCGAAAGCAGGUCAUAGUGAUCCGGUGGUUCUGAAUGGAAGGGCCAUCGCUCAACGGAUAAAAGGUACUCCGGGGAUAACAGGCUGAUACCGCCCAAGAGUUCAUAUCGACGGCGGUGUUUGGCACCUCGAUGUCGGCUCAUCACAUCCUGGGGCUGAAGUAGGUCCCAAGGGUAUGGCUGUUCGCCAUUUAAAGUGGUACGCGAGCUGGGUUUAGAACGUCGUGAGACAGUUCGGUCCCUAUCUGCCGUGGGCGCUGGAGAACUGAGGGGGGCUGCUCCUAGUACGAGAGGACCGGAGUGGACGCAUCACUGGUGUUCGGGUUGUCAUGCCAAUGGCACUGCCCGGUAGCUAAAUGCGGAAGAGAUAAGUGCUGAAAGCAUCUAAGCACGAAACUUGCCCCGAGAUGAGUUCUCCCUGAGACUUAG
This 1398-nucleotide ribosomal RNA is filed under the name Salmonella enterica. Its description in RNAcentral is "partial 23S ribosomal RNA". It matches the Rfam family "Bacterial large subunit ribosomal RNA", at positions 1443 to 2824 of the family's 2925-position model. The record is from RNAcentral. Lineage: Bacteria; Pseudomonadati; Pseudomonadota; Gammaproteobacteria; Enterobacterales; Enterobacteriaceae.